GAUGAACGCUGGCGGCGUGCCUAAUACAUGCAAGUCGAGCGAACGGACGAGAAGCUUGCUUCUCUGAUGUUAGCGGCGGACGGGCGAGUAACACGUGGAUAACCUACCUAUAAGACUGGGAUAACUUCGGGAAACCGGAGCUAAUACCGGAUAAUAUUUUGAACCGCAUGGUUCAAAAGUGAAAGACGGUCUUGCUGUCACUUAUAGAUGGAUCCGCGCUGCAUUAGCUAGUUGGUAAGGUAACGGCUUACCAAGGCAACGAUGCAUAGCCGACCUGAGAGGGUGAUCGGCCACACUGGAACUGAGACACGGUCCAGACUCCUACGGGAGGCAGCAGUAGGGAAUCUUCCGCAAUGGGCGAAAGCCUGACGGAGCAACGCCGCGUGAGUGAUGAAGGUCUUCGGAUCGUAAAACUCUGUUAUUAGGGAAGAACAUAUGUGUAAGUAACUGUGCACAUCUUGACGGUACCUAAUCAGAAAGCCACGGCUAACUACGUGCCAGCAGCCGCGGUAAUACGUAGGUGGCAAGCGUUAUCCGGAAUUAUUGGGCGUAAAGCGCGCGUAGGCGGUUUUUUAAGUCUGAUGUGAAAGCCCACGGCUCAACCGUGGAGGGUCAUUGGAAACUGGAAAACUUGAGUGCAGAAGAGGAAAGUGGAAUUCCAUGUGUAGCGGUGAAAUGCGCAGAGAUAUGGAGGAACACCAGUGGCGAAGGCGACUUUCUGGUCUGUAACUGACGCUGAUGUGCGAAAGCGUGGGGAUCAAACAGGAUUAGAUACCCUGGUAGUCCACGCCGUAAACGAUGAGUGCUAAGUGUUAGGGGGUUUCCGCCCCUUAGUGCUGCAGCUAACGCAUUAAGCACUCCGCCUGGGGAGUACGACCGCAAGGUUGAAACUCAAAGGAAUUGACGGGGACCCGCACAAGCGGUGGAGCAUGUGGUUUAAUUCGAAGCAACGCGAAGAACCUUACCAAAUCUUGACAUCCUUUGACAACUCUAGAGAUAGAGCUUUCCCCUUCGGGGGACAAAGUGACAGGUGGUGCAUGGUUGUCGUCAGCUCGUGUCGUGAGAUGUUGGGUUAAGUCCCGCAACGAGCGCAACCCUUAAGCUUAGUUGCCAUCAUUAAGUUGGGCACUCUAAGUUGACUGCCGGUGACAAACCGGAGGAAGGUGGGGAUGACGUCAAAUCAUCAUGCCCCUUAUGAUUUGGGCUACACACGUGCUACAAUGGACAAUACAAAGGGCAGCGAAACCGCGAGGUCAAGCAAAUCCCAUAAAGUUGUUCUCAGUUCGGAUUGUAGUCUGCAACUCGACUACAUGAAGCUGGAAUCGCUAGUAAUCGUAGAUCAGCAUGCUACGGUGAAUACGUUCCCGGGUCU
RNAcentral lists this ribosomal RNA (1372 nucleotides) under uncultured bacterium. Its description in RNAcentral is "bacterial SSU rRNA". It matches the Rfam family "Bacterial small subunit ribosomal RNA", at positions 28 to 1381 of the family's 1533-position model. The record is from RNAcentral.